Callithrix jacchus (white-tufted-ear marmoset) is the source of this 102-nucleotide Y RNA. It matches the Rfam family "Y RNA". From Rfam's summary of the family: Y RNAs are components of the Ro ribonucleoprotein particle (Ro RNP), in association with Ro60 and La proteins. The Y RNAs and Ro60 and La proteins are well conserved, but the function of the Ro RNP is not known. The record is from Ensembl. Lineage: Eukaryota; Metazoa; Chordata; Mammalia; Primates; Cebidae.
GGCCGCUCCUGCUACAAUGGUAGUGGGUUAUCAGAACUUAUUAACAUUAGUGUCACUAAAAUUGGUAUACAACCCCCCACUGCUAAAUUUGACCGGCUUUAA